Molecule: ribosomal RNA, 372 nt
Filed under: uncultured organism
Description: bacterial SSU rRNA
Rfam family: Bacterial small subunit ribosomal RNA
Source: RNAcentral
CAGAGGGGGCAAGCGUUGUUCGGAAUUACUGGGCGUAAAGGGCGCGUAGGCGGCCGCCUAAGUCAGACGUGAAAUCCCUCGGCUCAACCGGGGAACUGCGUCUGAUACUGGGUGGCUUGAAUCCGGGAGAGGGAUGCGGAAUUCCAGGUGUAGCGGUGAAAUGCGUAGAUAUCUGGAGGAACACCGGUGGCGAAGGCGGCAUCCUGGACCGGCAUUGACGCUGAGGCGCGAAAGCCAGGGGAGCAAACGGGAUUAGAUACCCCGGUAGUCCUGGCCCUAAACGAUGAGUGCUUGGUGUGGCGGGUAUCGAUCCCUGCCGUGCCGAAGCUAACGCAUUAAGCACUCCGCCUGGGGAGUACGGUCGCAAGGCUG